Molecule: long non-coding RNA, 1408 nt
Organism: Eriocheir sinensis (Chinese mitten crab)
Lineage: Eukaryota; Metazoa; Arthropoda; Malacostraca; Decapoda; Varunidae
Exons: 3
Source: RefSeq, a predicted model, not a curated record
AGCAAACUAUUAGCUUUAUUGAUGUUGUUGGAAUGAUCAGCUGUACAUCAAUAUCAUGCACAAGAUUUAGGGACGCCAAUACCCCCAUCGGCCAGUGUUACAUGGAAACACUACAGCAGCGAUGACAGCCAUUCGUAACGAUGGAGACAGUCAAAACAGCUGUGAAAGGCCCUUAAUCCAGCUGUACAGGGUGACGGACAAACAGCACAGAACUGAAACCAUCCUGUCCCUUACAAGUUACAUCUGCUACAUACUAAUUAAAGUGAUUCCAUUCCUUAAACCUCUCCCUUUUGUCUUAAGGUACAGAACUAUUUGUUUCAUCAUUAGUCAGCAAGCUAUUGUCAUAUACUAUCAAAUUCGACAUCCGUGCCAAGACUUGCUAUUUAAAAAAGACACAAAACACAGAAAAUGUAAAAUAAACUCAAUGAUAUGCAAAAGGGCACUAUGGAAAGCCUAUGGUGCUCCUUAUACUCUUGUCUGAUGUCGCCGGUGUGGUGUCAUGAGGCAUCCAGGUAUCGUGAGACAUCCAGGUAUUGUGAGACAUCCAGGUAUUGUGAGACAUCCAGGUAUUGUGAGACAUCCAGGUAUUGUGAGGCAUCCAGGUAUCGUGAGACAUCCAGGUAUUGUGAGACAUCCAGGUAUUGUGAGACAUCCAGGUAUUGUGAGACAUCCAGGUAUUGUGAGACAUCCAGGUAUUGUGAGACAUCCAGGUAUUGUGAGACAUCCAGGUAUCGUGAGACAUCCAGGUAUUGUGAGACAUCCAGGUAUUGUGAGACAUCCAGGUAUUGUGAGACAUCCAGGUAUUGUGAGACAUCCAGGUAUUGUGAGACAUCCAGGUAUUGUGAGACAUCCAGGUAUUGUGAGACAUCCAGGUAUCGUGAGACAUCCAGGUAUUGUGAGACAUCCAGGUAUCGUGAGACAUCCAGGUAUUGUGAGACAUCCAGGUAUUGUGAGACAUCCAGGUAUUGUGAGACAUCCAGGUAUUGUGAGACAUCCAGGUAUCGUGAGACUUCCAGGUAUUGUGAGACAUCCAGGUAUCGUGAGACAUCCAGGUAUUGUGAGACAUCCAGGUAUUGUGAAUUUCGACCCAGUACCGUGUCUUUCGUUGUCUGCUUAUCAGGAUCUGUCCCACCCAAGUUUAUAUUUUCCACUAUAAAAGCAAAUAAUGAAGCAUGUAUGUAUAUAACUAGGAUGUAAACAAUUGCCCUUCUUCUUCUUCUUGUGACCUGUCCCACUUUUGCAUUGCUUUUUGGGUCCUCCUUGGUACCUUUUUAUACUUAAUUAAGAUGCUUCACUUAGUCACUCUAUGGUAGUAAACUUUGGGCUCCAUGCUGCGAAAAUUAGGAUGGGACGUCUCAUGAUACUGGAUGGCAGAUGACACCACAUCGGCAUCGCCAUACCACCACCA